RNAcentral lists this ribosomal RNA (2877 nucleotides) under Microcystis aeruginosa PCC 9443. RNAcentral's name for it is "bacterial LSU rRNA". It matches the Rfam family "Bacterial large subunit ribosomal RNA". Lineage: Bacteria; Bacillati; Cyanobacteriota; Cyanophyceae; Chroococcales; Microcystaceae. The record is from RNAcentral.
UCAAGCUAAUAAGGGCUAACGGUGGAUACCUAGGCACACGGAAGCGAAGAAGGACGUAGUUACCGACGAAACGCUUCGGGGAGCGGGAAGCAAGCAUUGAUCCGAAGAUAUCCGAAUGGGGCAACCCUAACACGACCACCUGAAUACAUAGGGUGGAGCGAGCAAACCUGGUGAACUGAAACAUCUUAGUAGCCAGAGGAAAAGAAAGCAACAGCGAUUCCCCCAGUAGCGGCGAGCGAAAAGGGAACAGCCUAAACCAAGUUCUGCGGAACUUGGGGUCGUGGGACAGUGACAAAAGACUGGGAAAUUUAGACGAAGCGGCUGAAAACCGCACCAGAGAAGGUGAAAGUCCUGUAGUCGAAAAAGGAACCAGCUUAACUGCAUCCCGAGUAGCAUGGGGCACGUGAAAUCCCGUGUGAAUCUGCCUCGACCACGAGGUAAGGCUAAAUAUUCCCGUGUGACCGAUAGAGAAACAGUACCGCGAGGGAAAGGUGAAAAGAACCCCGGAAGGGGAGUGAAAUAGAACAUGAAACCGUUAGCCUACAAGCAAUGGGAGGACGAUUGAACGUCUGACCGUGUGCCUGUUGAAGAAUGAGCCGGCGACUUACAGGUUAUGGCAGGUGAAGGGGGAAGACCCCACAGCCCCAGCGAAAGCGAGUCUGAAGAGGGCGAAAAGUCAUAAUUUGUAGACCCGAACCCGGGUGAUCUAACCAUGGCCAGGAUGAAGCUUGGGUAAAACCAAGUGGAAGUCCGAACCGACUAAUGUUGAAAAAUUAGCGGAUGAGCUGUGGUUAGGGGUGAAAUGCCAAUCGAACUCGGAGCUAGCUGGUUCUCCCCGAAAUGUGUUGAGGCGCAGCGGUAGUGGAAGUUUAGUCGGGGUAAAGCACUGUUUCGCCGCGGGCUGGGAGACCGGUACCAAGGCGAGGCAAACUCUGAAUACGGCUAAAAAAACUACCAGUGAGACGGUGGGGGAUAAGCUUCAUCGUCAAGAGGGAAACAGCCCAGACCACCAGCUAAGGUCCCCAAAUGAUAACUAAGUGAGAAAGGAGGUGGGAGUGCAUUGACAACCAGGAGGUUUGCCUAGAAGCAGCAAUCCUUAAAAGAGUGCGUAAUAGCUCACUGGUCAAGCGCUCCUGCGCCGAAAAUGAACGGGGCUAAGUUAUCUACCGAAGCUGUGGACUACAUUGUAGUGGUAGGGGAGCGUUCUAUAGGGGGUGAAGCAGUAGCGGCAAGCAGCUGUGGACUCUAUAGAAGUGAGAAUGUCGGCUUAAGUAGCGAAAAUGUGGGUGAGAAUCCCACACCCCGAAACCCCAAGGUUUCCUCCGCAAGGCUCGUCCGCGGAGGGUCAGUCAGGACCUAAGGCGAGGCUGAAAAGUGUAGUCGAUGGACAACGGGUUAACAUUCCCGUACCGAUUAAUGAUUGUGCCGGAGAACGGAGAAGGUCAACGUCAGCUGGAUGUUGGUUACCAGUGCAAGCAGUCGAGGCGAUGAGCGGUGGAGAAAACACCAGGAGCUAAGACGCGAGUCCCACCUCCCACGGGAGGGAAGUGGCGCUGAUCAAGCUUCCUAGAAAAGCCCGAACCACGUUAAUCAUUAAUUGCCUGUACCCGAAACCGACACAGGUGGGGAAGUAGAGAAUACUAAGGGGCGCGAGAUAACUCUCUCUAAGGAACUCGGCAAAAUGACCCCGUAACUUCGGGAGAAGGGGUACCCUCGCAAGAGGGUCGCAGUGAAUAGGCCCAGGCGACUGUUUACCAAAAACACAGGUCUCCGCCAAGUCGUAAGACGCAGUAUGGAGGCUGACGCCUGCCCAGUGCCGGAAGGUUAAGGAAGUUGGUCAGGAGUAAUCUAAAGCUGACGACCGAAGCCCCGGUGAACGGCGGCCGUAACUAUAACGGUCCUAAGGUAGCGAAAUUCCUUGUCGGGUAAGUUCCGACCCGCACGAAAGGCGUAACGAUCUGGGCACUGUCUCGGAGAGAGACUCGGCGAAAUAGGAUUGUCUGUGAAGAUACGGACUACCUGCACCUGGACAGAAAGACCCUAUGAAGCUUUACUGUAGCCUGGAAUUGGCUUCGGGCUUCGCUUGCGCAGGAUAGGUGGGAAGCUUUGAAACUCUCCUCGUGGGGAGGGUGGAGCUAACGGUGAGAUACCACUCUGGCGAGGCUAGAAUUCUAACCCUGACCCCUAAUCGGGGCGGGAGACAGUUUCAGGUGGGCAGUUUGACUGGGGCGGUCGCCUCCUAAAAGGUAACGGAGGCGCGCAAAGGUUCCCUCGGUCCCGUUGGAAAUGGGACGAUAGAGUGCAAAAGCAGAAGGGAGCUUGACUGUGAGACCCACAAGUCGAACAGGGACGAAAGUCGGCUUUAGUGAUCCGACGGCACCGCGUGGAAGGGCCGUCGCUCAACGGAUAAAAGUUACUCUAGGGAUAACAGGCUGAUCUCCCCCAAGAGUUCACAUCGACGGGGAGGUUUGGCACCUCGAUGUCGGCUCAUCGCAACCUGGGGCUGAAGUCGGUCCCAAGGGUUGGGCUGUUCGCCCAUUAAAGCGGUACGUGAGCUGGGUUCAGAACGUCGUGAGACAGUUCGGUCCAUAUCCGGUGUAGGCGUAAGAGCAUUGCGAGGAGCCUUCCUUAGUACGAGAGGACCGGGAAGGACGCACCGCUGGUGUACCUGUUAUCGUGCCAACGGUAAACGCAGGGUAGCCAUGUGCGGAGCGGAUAACCGCUGAAAGCAUCUAAGUGGGAAGCCCACCUCCAGAUGAUUGCUCUCAUGGCAUUAAGCCAGUAAGGUCUCGGGUAGACUACCCGUUGAUAGGCUCUAGAUGGAAGCUCGGUAACGAGUGCAGUCGAGGAGUACUAACCGACCGAGGGCUUGACCUC